This 490-nucleotide ribosomal RNA is filed under the name uncultured bacterium. RNAcentral describes it as "partial 16S ribosomal RNA". It matches the Rfam family "Bacterial small subunit ribosomal RNA", at positions 28 to 507 of the family's 1533-position model. The record is from RNAcentral.
GAUGAACGCUAGCUACAGGCUUAACACAUGCAAGUCGCGGGGCAGCAUGGGGGUUGCUUGCAAUCCCCGAUGGCGACCGGCGCACGGGUGAGUAACGCGUAUCCAACCUGCCCUUCACCACGGGAUAACCCGGCGAAAGUCGGACUAAUACCGUAUGUUGUCCAUUGACGGCAUCCGAUUUGGACGAAAGGCUUGGCGGUGAGGGAUGGGGAUGCGUCCGAUUAGCCAGACGGCGGGGUAACGGCCCACCGUGGCUACGAUCGGUAGGGGUUCUGAGAGGAAGGGCCCCCACACUGGAACUGAGACACGGUCCAGACUCCUACGGGAGGCAGCAGUGAGGAAGAUUGGUCAAUGGGCGUAAGCCUGAACCAGCCAAGUAGCGUGCAGGAUGACGGCCCUAUGGGUUGUAAACUGCUUUUAUGCGGGGAUAAAGUGGCCCACGGGUGGGCUUUUGCAGGUACCGCAUGAAUAAGGACCGGCUAAUUCCGUG